CACGUAGGGGGCGAGCGUUGUCCGGAUUUAUUGGGCGUAAAGAGCUCGUAGGCGGCUCGGUAAGUCAACUGUGAAAGCUCCGGGCUCAACUCGGAGAGGCCAGUUGAUACUGCUGUGGCUAGAGUCCGGUAGGGGAGCGUGGAAUUCCCGGUGUAGUGGUGAAAUGCGUAGAUAUCGGGAGGAACACCAGUGGCGAAGGCGGCGAGCUGGUCCGAUACUGACGCUGAGGCGCGAAAGCGUGAGGAGCAAACAGG
RNAcentral lists this ribosomal RNA (254 nucleotides) under uncultured bacterium. Its description in RNAcentral is "partial 16S ribosomal RNA". It matches the Rfam family "Bacterial small subunit ribosomal RNA", at positions 524 to 776 of the family's 1533-position model. The record is from RNAcentral.